AAUAUUUGACAAUGGGGGCAACCCUGAUCCAGCCAUGCCGCGUGUGUGAAGAAGGUCUUCGGAUUGUAUCGCUCUUUAAGGUGGGAGGAGGGGUCUUAGGUUAAUACCUUUUAGUUUUGACGUUACUAACUGAAUAACCACCGGCUAACUCUGUGCGAGCAGCCGCGGUAAUACAGAGGGUGCAAGCGUUAAUCGGAAUUACUGGGCGUAAAGCGCGCGUAGGUGGUUCAGUAAGAUAGGUGUGAAAUCCCCGGGCUUAACCUGGGAACUGCUUUCAUAACUGCUGAGCUAGAGUACGGUAGAGGGUAGUGGAAUUUCCUGUGUAGCGGUGAAAUGCGUAGAUAUAGGAAGGAACACCAGUGGCGAAGGCGACUACCUGGACUGAUACUGACACUGAGGUGCGAAAGCGUGGGGAGCAAAC
This 421-nucleotide ribosomal RNA is filed under the name uncultured bacterium. Its description in RNAcentral is "partial 16S ribosomal RNA". It matches the Rfam family "Bacterial small subunit ribosomal RNA", at positions 360 to 773 of the family's 1533-position model. The record is from RNAcentral.